ACUUUCAUCUCUCAAUAUGCACGAAUCGCGUCUGGGUUUCUUUGUUAUCAGUUUUGUGGUUAUCUUGGAACGGAUGGCUGGACAAGAUCCACAGCCUAUCGAGCUCCAAAAUUUUACUAGUCCAGUACUUUUCAUUGCAUUGGGAAACCAAGCUAAAACUAGGAAAUGGGAGGGACGUUUACCAAGUGCUCCUCGAAGAACAAAUCCGAAAUCUGAUAUCGAACCGAUGAAUAAAACAAUAAAAGUGCAAAGUGCUGAAAGCUAAAGUGCUAAGCUAAUAAAUUGAAGUCUACAGUACAGUUUUUAUAAGGCGAUUCUUCUGCUCUAAAGUUUUAACGCAUAUUAGUAACAUUUAUUUGACGUAUUAUCUACAAUUGGUCACUCCAUGUCAUUCCAUGAUCCGCCUCGAAGGACCAAAGCCUCUUUCUGGAAGCUCUAGCCAAGAUCGGAGGAGCAUUUUGAAAGGAGUGUAGAAAGAAGUGGCCUCACGAGGCACCAAGAUUUAUACACCAAUUUGCCAAGUUGUAUUGUAAAACUAAUAAAUUGUCGCCGCUAACUUGAAUAA
This is a long non-coding RNA of Drosophila sechellia, 565 nucleotides long. RefSeq lists it as uncharacterized. The record is from RefSeq and is a predicted model, not a curated record. Lineage: Eukaryota; Metazoa; Arthropoda; Insecta; Diptera; Drosophilidae. The transcript has 2 exons.